UUUUAACUUAGAUGAUUUUUUUAGGGCUGGAUACAGUUUUUUUUUUGCCAAUUCCAAAUAACCAAGCCGAUUUUUUUUUUAAUGAACAAUUGUUUCUCGGUUAGAACAAUACCCAAAAACGUAUCUACGAUUCCUGUAUUGGAGAGGAAUUCCCUUUGCGACGGAAAAAUGUCGAGUAGCAAUGUAGCUGUUGCAUUUUCUCCACUAGACCGAGAUAAAAAGGUUAUUCUUGUAGGACAUUUGGCCAUGUAGAGUUAUCAUAUUUUGUUUUACUUAAACCAGGAGGAACGUAUAUAUUUAUGAGAAAAAUCGUAUCACUUCUGCACGCUCAACUGACAACUACAUCCUAUUUUUCAGUAACUGGAUUAAUCAAUAUACAAAAAUCAGCACUACCUAUACGUUUAUAAUUUAUACAGGAAUUUUAUUAGGAAGUCUCAUCGAAAUAUAUACGCCAAAAAUUUCUUUGGAAAACACGUUUGGGGCGUUUCAAGAAUAUGAGUUACCGAGUGGGUUCAUUGUAAAAACACCUAUGGACAAAAUUGUAUGGGAGAUAGGAGAUUAAAAUCUGGUGCAGCAAGAAGCACGGUUUUUAUUUUUUCAAUUUUAAGUCGAAAAAAUAAAAAUAAUUGUCAGUCAACCAUGUAAUCAACUCGUUUGUAUUAUCAUUUAUAAUAUACUAUAUUUUUACAAUAUUAUUUUUCUACUAGAACUAUUUUAGAGAAAAUUAAAUGUUAACAUAAUAUAAUAAAUAAUUAUUGAAGUUUAAUUCUAGAACGAUUGUUCGUCCUGAAACACUUCAUGGAGUACAUCGGGACAUUAUCUUCAAAAUCGGAAUAGUCCCGGCCAAACCGUGAUUUAUUGCAAGUGGUAAACCUAGGUUUAGGUUACCAAUAAAUAUUAAUACAGUAUUGUGAAAUGAUGAAAAUUAUAGGAUAAUGUUCAAGAGUGAAAUAAAAAGGAACACAUGAUGAUGUUUUUGUUUUUAUUUAUUCUUCGAAUCGUCAUCAAUACUAUAGCUCUGGAGACAUUUUCAAUAAAGUAGUUCAAUUGUAUAUGAAUAAUUGAAAAUAUAAAUUUAUACUUUAGAUAAAUUCUAUUAUGUAAUCUUAUAAAUAAUAAUUAUAAAUAAAUUUGUUUUUAAAUAUUUCUUUUGAAAUAACCACGAUAGUAUUUAACACUUUUCAAUUGUACAUGUUACCAUAAUAGUAUAAUGUAUUAGGUAUUCCGUAUUACAGGAUACUUACAAAUUUAAUAAGAAAUUAAUUUAUUAUGAUUAAAAAAAAAAAUCUAAUUUUCAUUAUUCUUUAAUCUUUAUAUUAUUAGCAGUUUCUGUUUAAAUCGUCAUUGUUUCCGCUAUGGUGGUCUCUUCUUCCUUAGCGAAAUUCGAACGUUUCAUUAAAUGAAUAAUAUAUGUUUUUGAAUCCAAUCGUUGGGGUAAAUGCCAAGG
This is a long non-coding RNA of Myzus persicae (green peach aphid), 1447 nucleotides long. RefSeq lists it as uncharacterized. The record is from RefSeq and is a predicted model, not a curated record. Lineage: Eukaryota; Metazoa; Arthropoda; Insecta; Hemiptera; Aphididae. The transcript is spliced from 2 exons.